GCUGUAGCUCAGCGGCUGAGCAAUUGCCUUCCCUGUUCUGGGUUCAAUUCCCAGCAUCUCCA
Molecule: transfer RNA, 62 nt
Filed under: Podarcis lilfordi (Lilford's wall lizard)
Lineage: Eukaryota; Metazoa; Chordata; Lepidosauria; Squamata; Lacertidae
Description: tRNA.Undet
Source: RNAcentral